RNAcentral lists this ribosomal RNA (433 nucleotides) under uncultured bacterium. RNAcentral describes it as "partial 16S ribosomal RNA". It matches the Rfam family "Bacterial small subunit ribosomal RNA", at positions 29 to 507 of the family's 1533-position model. The record is from RNAcentral.
AACGAACGCUGGCGGCAUGCCUAACACAUGCAAGUCGAACGAGACCUUCGGGUCUAGUGGCGCACGGGUGCGUCACGCGUGGGAACCUGCCCUUAGGUUCGGACUAACUCCCCGAAAGGGGUGCUAAUACCGGAUCAUGUCUUCUGACCAAAGAUUUAUCGCCUUUGGAUGGGCCCGCGUUGGAUUAGCUAGUUGGUAGGGUAAAAGCCUACCAAGGCGCCGAUCCAUAGCUGGUCUGAGAGGAUGAUCAGCCACACUGGGACUGAGACACGGCCCAGACUCCUACGGGAGGCAGCAGUGGGGAAUAGUGGACAAUGGGCGAAAGCCUGAUCCAGUAAUGCCGCGUGAGUGAUGAAGGCCUUAGGGUUGUAAAGCGCUUUUACCCGGGAUGAUAAUGACAGUACCGGGAGAAUAAGCUCCGGCUAACUCCGUG